This 214-nucleotide ribosomal RNA is filed under the name uncultured Staphylococcus sp. RNAcentral's name for it is "partial 16S ribosomal RNA". It matches the Rfam family "Bacterial small subunit ribosomal RNA", at positions 126 to 334 of the family's 1533-position model. Lineage: Bacteria; Bacillati; Bacillota; Bacilli; Caryophanales; Staphylococcaceae. The record is from RNAcentral.
CUACCUAUAAGACUGGGAUAACUUCGGGAAACCGGAGCUAAUACCGGAUAAUAUAUUGAACCGCAUGGUUAGAUAGUGAAAGACGGUUUUGCUGUCACUUAUAGAUGGAUACGCGCCGCAUUAGCUAGUUGGUAAGGUAACGGCUUACCAAGGCAACGAUGCGUAGCCGACCUGAGAGGGUGAUCGGCCACACUGGAACUGAGACACGGUCCAG